Molecule: small nucleolar RNA, 201 nt
Filed under: Nicotiana attenuata
Lineage: Eukaryota; Viridiplantae; Streptophyta; Magnoliopsida; Solanales; Solanaceae
Description: snoRNA Plant_U3
Source: RNAcentral
ACAACCUUAAUUGAACAGGGUCUGUUCUAUGGGCUCGUACCACUAUAUCCUUGAGUUCUAAUGGAUCCUAAAGAACAAGAGUGCCUAUUUCGACUGCAUUUAUCAGGCAAAGAGAAGUCAACUCCGCCAUGGCUGCAAAAUCACUGGUUGCAUGCAAAAGAGAGAACCUCAAAUGCCGACCAUCCAGUGAUUUGCCAGGCC